GAUGAACGCUGGCGGCAGGCCUAACACAUGCAAGUCGAACGGAAAGCCCCUUCUUUUGUGGGGUGCUCGGGUGGGGAACGGGAGGGUAACACGUGAUUAACCUGCCCUUGGCUUUGGGAGAACUUCAGGAAACUAGUGCUACUACCAGAUAGUAGCUCCUGCCGCAUGGUAGGGGUGGGAACGUUUCGGCGGGUGGGGAUGGACUCGCGGCUGAUGGUUUUGUUGGUGGGGGAGUGGCUUGCCAAGGCUUUGGAGGGUAGCCGGCCUGAGAGGGUGACCGGGCACAUGGCGACUGAGAUACGGCGCAGAGUCGUACGGGAGACAGCGGUGGGGAAUAUUGAACAAUCGGCGGAAGCCUGAUGCAGCAACGAUGCGUGCGGGAUGACGGCCUUCUGGUAGUAAACCGCUUUAGCCUGUGACGAAGCGUGAGUGACGGUAAUGGGUAAAGAAGCACCGGCUAACUACGUG
This 468-nucleotide ribosomal RNA is filed under the name uncultured bacterium. RNAcentral describes it as "partial 16S ribosomal RNA". It matches the Rfam family "Bacterial small subunit ribosomal RNA", at positions 28 to 507 of the family's 1533-position model. The record is from RNAcentral.